CCUACGGGUGGCAGCAGUGAGGAAUAUUGGUCAAUGGACGAGAGUCUGAACCAGCCAAGUAGCGUGAAGGAUGACUGCCCUAUGGGUUGUAAACUUCUUUUAUAUGGGAAUAAAACGUUCCACGUGUGGGAUUUUGUAUGUACCAUAUGAAUAAGGAUCGGCUAACUCCGUGCCAGCAGCCGCGGUAAUACGGAGGAGCCGAGCGUUAUCCGGAUUUAUUGGGUUUAAAGGGAGCGUAGGUGGAUUGUUAAGUCAGGUGUGAAAGGUUGCGGCUCAACCGUAAAACUGCAGUUGAAACUGGCAGUCUUGAGUACAGUAGAGGUGGGCGGAAUGCGUGGUGUAGCGGUGAAAUGCUUAGAUAUCACGAAGAACUCCGAUUGCGAAGGCAGUAUGCCGGCUUCCGACUGACGCUGAAGCACGAAAGCGUGGGGAUCGAACAGGAUUAGAUACCCUAGUAGUC
Molecule: ribosomal RNA, 460 nt
Filed under: uncultured bacterium
Lineage: Bacteria
Description: partial 16S ribosomal RNA
Rfam family: Bacterial small subunit ribosomal RNA
Source: RNAcentral